UCUGUCGGACCGGGCUCUGCUGCUGGUGGGCCAGCGGAUGGGCGUCGGUCGGUCGGUCGGUCGGUCGGUUGGUCGGCUGC
Molecule: microRNA precursor, 80 nt
Filed under: Aedes aegypti (yellow fever mosquito)
Lineage: Eukaryota; Metazoa; Arthropoda; Insecta; Diptera; Culicidae
Description: partial AAEL017583-RA
Source: RNAcentral